GACGAACGCUGGCGGCGUGCUUAACACAUGCAAGUCGAACGAUGAAGCCGGAGCUUGCUCUGGUGAAUUAGUGGCGAACGGGUGAGUAACACGUGAGUAACCUGCCCUUGACUCUGGGAUAACUGCGGGAAACUGUAGCUAAUACCGGAUACGACCCUCGGAGGCAUCUCCUGGGGGUGGAAAGAAUUUCGGCCAAGGAUGGACUCGCGGCCUAUCUGCUAGUUGGUGGGGUAAAGGCUCACCAAGGCGACGACGGGUAGCCGGCCUGAGAGGGUGACCGGCCACACUGGGACUGAGACACGGCCCAGACUCCUACGGGAGGCAGCAGUGGGGAAUAUUGCACAAUGGGCGCAAGCCUGAUGCAGCAACGCCGCGUGAGGGAUGACGGCUCUCGGGUUGUAAACCUCUUUUAGCAGGGAAGAAGCGAAAGUGACGGUACCUGCAGAAAAAGCACCGGCUAACUACGUGCCAGCCGCCGCAGUAA
RNAcentral lists this ribosomal RNA (484 nucleotides) under uncultured bacterium. RNAcentral's name for it is "partial 16S ribosomal RNA". It matches the Rfam family "Bacterial small subunit ribosomal RNA", at positions 28 to 523 of the family's 1533-position model. The record is from RNAcentral.